RNAcentral lists this long non-coding RNA (1203 nucleotides) under Anas platyrhynchos platyrhynchos (common mallard). RNAcentral's name for it is "lncRNA (ENSAPLG00000021016.1)". The record is from RNAcentral. Lineage: Eukaryota; Metazoa; Chordata; Aves; Anseriformes; Anatidae.
UGUGCUAUUAAGCACAGAGAAGCAGCUGAAGGAGCCGGGGGCCAGCUCGGUGCCGGCACCCCCAGCGCAGGGGGGUCCCUCCGGCCGCGCAGACCCUCGCGGCCCCCGGCUCCUGCUCCGCACCCCCGGGCGCGGAUUUUCCACAAGGUGGAGCCUGCGGGCAGCCGAUGCGCAGCCGGCAGCGCCGGAGGAGGUGGAUGCAGGGCCGGGGGGGUGGCUGUCAGCCUGUCCGGCUGUCCCGACGCGUGGUGGGCUGUCUGUCCAUCUGUCCGUCCGUCUCCCAGGUGGUGCCUGGACAGCAGCGCAGAGCAGGCUGGCUGGCUGUCCAUCUGGCUGUCUCCUGGGUGGUGCCAGGAGAGGGCUGGGAAGUGGCUGCUUUGCCUCAUCUCCCUUUGUGGUGUGAGCUCACUGGGACCUGCUGCAGGCCCUUGUGUGUGCACGCGUGUGUGCACGCGUGUGUGCGCAUCCGUCAGCCGCACAGAUGAGCCACCCCCAGCCGGCCCUGAUGGCUCAGCUGGGGAUGGCUCAAGGGAUGCUGCAAGCCAGUGCCAGACACAGCCCUUAACCACAGGCAACACCUCCCAGGAUCAGGAGGCACCAGAGCCUGCCCAGCAGCACUUCUUGCUCAGGUUCAGCACGGACCCAAGGGGCACUCAGCAGCAGUGCAUCCUGCGAGCUCAGCCUAGGUCGUUGCUUGUACCAGGCUGGCCACACGCUGCUGCCUCCAGCUCAGCACAGGGAAAGGAAGCAGCUAAACGUGGCACUGCCCUCGCUGCCUCCUGGCUAGCAGUCCCCAAAAUGUGGGUCAUGACUGGCCCUGCAGCGAUGCUGGCUGGGGAUGGGGAGGGAGUGUUUGUGGAGGGACGUCCCCGUUUCACAGACAUCAGAGGUGCGGCUGGUCAGGCGGAACCGAGAGGAACUGUCAGCCACAGCUUCUACCAGGGAAAUUGGAGAAAAUCUUUCAUCCAGGAAGAUAUUCCAGAAUUUCUACGAGUAAAAGUCUCCCAGAUGUGUUUGAGGAGAAAAUCCAUUUCACGUGCUCGGCACAAGCUGGGGCGCAGUGCCCAGUGUUUCACCGGGCAGCCCCGCGGGCUGUGCUGGCAGCGGGGGCUCCUGCACGGGGUAAAUUCAUCUUUACGUGCUGAUGGCUCGCUGCUUUGCUUGUUAAUCCCCAGAGGUAGGUGUGAAAGCUGCAUGGAUUAA